CUCCCGUGUGACCGCACAGCGGAGGAAACGAUGGACUCGCGGGGCCAGCUGGCCGACAGUGCGCCUGAAGCACUACGAACAGAGGCCCGCAGCACCCGCGGCGGCGAGCAAAACCACCCGAAGAGAAGGGACACGAGAGGCAAAGCGGUCAUCCGAGGAGGCUUCACGAGCAGUAGAGAAAGUAGGGCAGCAAGGGAGAGGGGGAACGGCACGUCCAAUUAAACCCAGAGCUUCAAAGCUACAAGAGACAACGAACCGCGUUUAAUAAUAGAAGAAAACAGCAAACGGGGAAAGACUAGCGAUCUCCUCAGGAAACUCGGAAACAUCAAGGGAGCAUCUCGCCCAAACACGGGCACAAUAAAGGACAGAAUGGCACAGACCUGGCAGAUGCUGAGAGGAUCAGGAAGAGCUGGAAAGAACACAGAACUGCACUCGAAACGACUUUAAUGCACCGAUUGCUGCGGUGGCGUGGUCAGCCACCCAAAGCCAGAUAUUCUGGAGUGCGAAGUCAGGUGGGCCUUAAGAAGCUCUGCUGCCAACAAGGCUUCUGGAUGCACCAAAAUUCCCACAGAGCUAUUCAGACCCUGAAGGAGCGCGCCCCCAAGGUCCUGCGUUCAGCAGGUCAGCAAAUCUGCAAGACCCAGCUGUGGCCACAGGACUGGAAAAGGUCAGUCCUCACCCCAGUUCCCAAGAAGGGCAAAGACGGUGCUGACCACACGAUAACUGCGCUCAUCUCCCAGGCCAGUGUGAUAACGCCUAGAAUCUGGCAGGCUAGCGUGAUAACGCUUAAAGUCUCACAUGCUAGUGUGAUAACGCUUAGAAUCUCGCAGGCUAGCAUGAUAACGCUUAGAAUCUCCCAGGCCUGCGUGAUAACGCUUAGAAUCUCGCAGGCUAGUGUGAUAACGCUUAGAAUCUCGCAGGCUAGCAUGAUAACGCUUAGAAUCUCCCAGGCCUGCGUGAUAACGCUUAGAAUCUCGCAGGCUAGUGUGAUAACGCUUAGAAUCUCGCAGGCUAGUGUGAUAACGCUUAAAGUCUCGCAUGCUAGUGUGAUAACGCUUAGAAUCUCCCAGGCUAGUGUGAUAACGCUUAAAGUCUGGCAUGCUAGGCUUUAG
RNAcentral lists this long non-coding RNA (1112 nucleotides) under Ovis aries (sheep). Its description in RNAcentral is "lncRNA (ENSOARG00000025476.1)". Lineage: Eukaryota; Metazoa; Chordata; Mammalia; Artiodactyla; Bovidae. The record is from RNAcentral.